CAGCCGUAAACUAUGCGCGUUAGGUGUAUCGGUGACCACGAGUCACCGAGGUGCCGAAGGGAAACCGUGAAACGUGCCGCCUGGGAAGUACGGUCGCAAGGCUGAAACUUAAAGGAAUUGGGCGGGGGGAGGCACCGCAACGGGAGGAGCGUGCGGUUUAAUUGGAUUCAACGCCGAAAAACUACACCAGCAGCGACUGUUACAUGAAAGUCAGGUUGAUGACCUUACUAGAUUUUCAGAGAGGAGGUGCAUGGCGUAGACGUCU
Molecule: ribosomal RNA, 265 nt
Filed under: uncultured archaeon
Lineage: Archaea
Description: partial 16S ribosomal RNA
Rfam family: Archaeal small subunit ribosomal RNA
Source: RNAcentral